GUGCCAGCAGCCGCGGUAAUACGAAGGGGGCUAGCGUUGUUCGGAAUUACUGGGCGUAAAGCGCACGUAGGCGGAUAUUUAAGCCAGGGGUGAAAUCCCAGAGCUCAACUCUGGAACUGCCUUUGAUACUGGGUAUCUUGAGUAUGGAAGAGGUAAGUGGAAUUCCGAGUGUAGAGGUGAAAUUCGUAGAUAUUCGGAGGAACACCAGUGGCGAAGGCGGCUUACUGGUCCAUUACUGACGCUGAGGUGCGAAAGCGUGGGGAGCAAACAGGAUUAGAUACCCGGGUAGUC
This 291-nucleotide ribosomal RNA is filed under the name uncultured Rhizobiaceae bacterium. RNAcentral describes it as "partial 16S ribosomal RNA". It matches the Rfam family "Bacterial small subunit ribosomal RNA", at positions 505 to 795 of the family's 1533-position model. Lineage: Bacteria; Pseudomonadati; Pseudomonadota; Alphaproteobacteria; Hyphomicrobiales; Rhizobiaceae. The record is from RNAcentral.